RNAcentral lists this ribosomal RNA (429 nucleotides) under Chloroflexota bacterium. Its description in RNAcentral is "Chloroflexi bacterium partial 16S ribosomal RNA". It matches the Rfam family "Bacterial small subunit ribosomal RNA", at positions 355 to 776 of the family's 1533-position model. The record is from RNAcentral. Lineage: Bacteria; Bacillati; Chloroflexota.
UGGGGAAUAUUGCACAAUGGGCGCAAGCCUGAUGCAGCCAUGCCGCGCGUAUGAAGAAGGCCUUCGGGUUGCAAAGUACUUUCAGUCGGGAGGAAGGUGGUAAGGUUAAUAACCUUAUCAAUUGACGUUACCGACAGAAGAAGCACCGGCUAACUCCGUGCCAGCAGCCGCGGUAAUACGGAGGGUGCAAGCGUUAAUCGGAAUUACUGGGCGUAAAGCGCACGCAGGCGGUUGAUUGAGUCAGAUGUGAAAUCCCCGGGCUUAACCCGGGAAUUGCAUCUGAUACUGGUCAGCUAGAGUCUUGUGGAGAGGGGUAGAAUUCCAUGUGUAGCGGUGAAAUGCGUAGAGAUGUGGAGGAAUACCGGUGGCGAAGGCGGCCACCUGGACAAAGACUGACGCUCAGGUGCGAAAGCGUGGGGAGCAAACAGG